RNAcentral lists this non-coding RNA (30 nucleotides) under Rattus norvegicus (Norway rat). Lineage: Eukaryota; Metazoa; Chordata; Mammalia; Rodentia; Muridae. The record is from RNAcentral.
UGCAUUGUGUUGGAUUGUUCUUAAAUGAUC